AUGCCGAAGCAGAUCCACGAGAUCAAGGACUUCCUCCUGACGGCGCGGCGGAAGGACGCGCGGUCGGUGCGGAUCAAGAGGACCAAGGACGCCGUCAAGUUCAAGGUGCGCUGCUCCAGGUACCUCUACACCCUCUGCGUCCACGACACCGACAAGGCCAACAAGCUCAAGCAGUCCCUCCCCCCAGGUUUGAACGUCCAGGAGGUUUAA
This 210-nucleotide ribosomal RNA is filed under the name Triticum aestivum (bread wheat). RNAcentral's name for it is "partial small subunit ribosomal RNA". The record is from RNAcentral. Lineage: Eukaryota; Viridiplantae; Streptophyta; Magnoliopsida; Poales; Poaceae.